GGAGGCUUUGAAGUGUGGACGCCAGUCUGCAUGGAGCCGACCUUGAAAUACCACCCUUUAAUGUUUGAUGUUCUAACGUGGACCCGUGAUCCGGGUUGCGGACAGUGUCUGGUGGGUAGUUUGACUGGGGCGGUCUCCUCCUAAAGAGUAACGGAGGAGCACGAAGGUUGGCUAAUCCUGGUCGGACAUCAGGAGGUUAGUGCAAUGGCAUAAGCCAGCUUGACUGCGAGCGUGACGGCGCGAGCAGGUGCGAAAGCAGGUCAUAGUGAUCCGGUGGUUCUGAAUGGAAGGGCCAUCGCUCAACGGAUAAAAGGUACUCCGGGGAUAACAGGCUGAUACCGCCCAAGAGUUCAUAUCGACGGCGGUGUUUGGCACCUCGAUGUCGGCUCAUCACAUCCUGGGGCUGAAGUAGGUCCCAAGGGUAUGGCUGUUCGCCAUUUAAAGUGGUACGCGAGCUGGGUUUAGAACGUCGUGAGACAGUUCGGUCCCUAUCUGCCGUGGGCGCUGGAGAACUGAGGGGGGCUGCUCCUAGUACGAGAGGACCGGAGUGGACGCAUCACUGGUGUUCGGGUUGUCAUGCCAAUGGCACUGCCCGGUAGCUAAAUGCGGAAGAGAUAAGUGCUGAAAGCAUCUAAGCACGAAACUUGCCCCGAGAUGAGUUCUCCCUGAGACUUUAGGUCUCCUGAAGGAACGUUGAAGACGACGACGUUGAUAGGCCGGGUGUGUAAGCGCAGCGAUGCGUUGAGCUAACCGGUACUAAUGAACCGUGAGGCUUAACCUUACA
This 784-nucleotide ribosomal RNA is filed under the name Salmonella enterica. RNAcentral's name for it is "partial 23S ribosomal RNA". It matches the Rfam family "Bacterial large subunit ribosomal RNA", at positions 2150 to 2925 of the family's 2925-position model. Lineage: Bacteria; Pseudomonadati; Pseudomonadota; Gammaproteobacteria; Enterobacterales; Enterobacteriaceae. The record is from RNAcentral.